Molecule: ribosomal RNA, 318 nt
Filed under: uncultured archaeon
Lineage: Archaea
Description: bacterial SSU rRNA
Rfam family: Archaeal small subunit ribosomal RNA
Source: RNAcentral
ACGAAGUUAACUUAACCUAUGGAUGGGAAUAACCUCGGGAAACUGAGAAUAAUACCCAAUAGACCACAGUGCCUGGAAUGGCCUGUGGUUGACAUGAUUUAUCGCCGUAGGACAGGACUGCGGCCUAAUCAUGCUUUUGCUUUGAGUGAGGGUAAUGGCCCACCAAGGCUAUAACAGGUACGGGCUCUGAGAGGAGGGGCCCGGAGAUGGGUACUGAGACACGGAACCAGGCCCUAUGGGGCGCAGCAGGCGAGAAACCUUUGCAAUGUGCGAAAGCACGACAAGGUUAACUCCGAGUUGUCUCCUGCUAAAGGAGUC